RNAcentral lists this ribosomal RNA (1381 nucleotides) under uncultured bacterium. RNAcentral's name for it is "bacterial SSU rRNA". It matches the Rfam family "Bacterial small subunit ribosomal RNA", at positions 18 to 1394 of the family's 1533-position model. The record is from RNAcentral.
CCUGGCUCAGGAUGAACGCUAGCUACAGGCUUAACACAUGCAAGUCGAGGGGCAGCAUGGUCUUAGCUUGCUAAGGCCGAUGGCGACCGGCGCACGGGUGAGUAACACGUAUCCAACCUGCCGUCUACUCUUGGACAGCCUUCUGAAAGGAAGAUUAAUACAAGAUGGCAUCAUGAGUCCGCAUGUUCACAUGAUUAAAGGUAUUCCGGUAGACGAUGGGGAUGCGUUCCAUUAGAUAGUAGGCGGGGUAACGGCCCACCUAGUCUUCGAUGGAUAGGGGUUCUGAGAGGAAGGUCCCCCACAUUGGAACUGAGACACGGUCCAAACUCCUACGGGAGGCAGCAGUGAGGAAUAUUGGUCAAUGGGCGAGAGCCUGAACCAGCCAAGUAGCGUGAAGGAUGACUGCCCUAUGGGCUGUAAACUUCUUUUAUAAAGGAAUAAAGUCGGGUAUGGAUACCCGUUUGCAUGUACUUUAUGAAUAAGGAUCGGCUAACUCCGUGCCAGCAGCCGCGGUAAUACGGAGGAUCCGAGCGUUAUCCGGAUUUAUUGGGUUUAAAGGGAGCGUAGAUGGAUGUUUAAGUCAGUUGUGAAAGUUUGCGGCUCAACCGUAAAAUUGCAGUUGAUACUGGAUAUCUUGAGUGCAGUUGAGGCAGGCGGAAUUCGUGGUGUAGCGGUGAAAUGCUUAGAUAUCACGAAGAACUCCGAUUGCGAAGGCAGCCUGCUAAGCUGCAACUGACAUUGAGGCUCGAAAGUGUGGGUAUCAAACAGGAUUAGAUACCCUGGUAGUCCACACGGUAAACGAUGAAUACUCGCUGUUUGCGAUAUACUGCAAGCGGCCAAGCGAAAGCGUUAAGUAUUCCACCUGGGGAGUACGCCGGCAACGGUGAAACUCAAAGGAAUUGACGGGGGCCCGCACAAGCGGAGGAACAUGUGGUUUAAUUCGAUGAUACGCGAGGAACCUUACCCGGGCUUAAAUUGCAGAUGAAUUACGGUGAAAGCCGUAAGCCGCAAGGCAUCUGUGAAGGUGCUGCAUGGUUGUCGUCAGCUCGUGCCGUGAGGUGUCGGCUUAAGUGCCAUAACGAGCGCAACCCUUGUUGUCAGUUACUAACAGGUUCCGCUGAGGACUCUGACAAGACUGCCAUCGUAAGAUGUGAGGAAGGUGGGGAUGACGUCAAAUCAGCACGGCCCUUACGUCCGGGGCUACACACGUGUUACAAUGGGGGGUACAGAGGGCCGCUACCACGCGAGUGGAUGCCAAUCCCCAAAACCUCUCUCAGUUCGGACUGGAGUCUGCAACCCGACUCCACGAAGCUGGAUUCGCUAGUAAUCGCGCAUCAGCCACGGCGCGGUGAAUACGUUCCCGGGCCUUGUACACACCGCC